AACGCGAAGAACCUUACCUGGCCUUGACAUGCAAGUAGUAGAACCAUGAAAGUGGGACGAGGUAGCAAUACCAGCUUGCACAGGUGCUGCAUGGCUGUCGUCAGCUCGUGUCGUGAGAUGUUGGGUUAAGUCCCGCAACGAGCGCAACCCUCGUCCUAUGUUGCCAGCGGGUUAUGCCGGGGACUCAUAGGAGACUGCCGGGGUCAACUCGGAGGAAGGUGGGGAUGACGUCAAGUCCUCAUGCCCCUUAUGUCUUGGGCUGCAAACAUGCUACAAUGGCCAGUACAAAGGGUUGCGAGACCGCAAGGUGGAGCGAAUCCCAAAAAGCUGGUCUCAGUUCGGAUUGGGGUCUGCAACUCGACCCCAUGAAGUCGGAGUCGCUAGUAAUCGCAGAUCAGCAACGCUGCGGUGAAUACGUUCCCGGGCCUUGUACACACCGAGUAUA
Molecule: ribosomal RNA, 445 nt
Filed under: uncultured bacterium
Lineage: Bacteria
Description: bacterial SSU rRNA
Rfam family: Bacterial small subunit ribosomal RNA
Source: RNAcentral